This 466-nucleotide ribosomal RNA is filed under the name uncultured bacterium. Its description in RNAcentral is "partial 16S ribosomal RNA". It matches the Rfam family "Bacterial small subunit ribosomal RNA", at positions 339 to 795 of the family's 1533-position model. The record is from RNAcentral.
CUACGGGUUGCUGCAGUGGGGAAUAUUGGACAAUGGGGGAAACCCUGAUCCAGCAAUGCCGCGUGUGUGAAGAAGGCCUGCGGGUUGUAAAGCACUUUCGGUUGGGAGGACUGCUUCUAGCACUAAUAUUGUUGGAAGUUGACGUUACCUUCAGAAGAAGCACCGGCUAACUCCGUGCCAGCAGCCGCGGUAAUGACGGAGGGUGCAAGCGUUAAUCGGAAUUACUGGGCGUAAAGCGCGCGUAGGCGGCUAGGUCAGUCGGGCGUGAAAGCCCCGGGCUUAACCUGGGAACUGCAUCCGAUACUGUCUAGCUUGAGUACAGGAGAGGAGAGUGGAAUUCCACAUGUAGCGGUGAAAUGCGUAGAUAUGUGGAGGAACACCAAUGGCGAAGGCAGCUCUCUGGCCUGAUACUGACGCUGAGGUGCGAAAGCGUGGGGAGCAAACAGGAUUAGAUACCCUAGUAGUC